GACGAACGCUGGCGGCGUGCUUAACACAUGCAAGUCGAACGGGCCCGCCCCUGUUUUUGGGGGUGGGUUGAGUGGCGAACGGGUGAGUAUCACGUGAGUAACCUGCCCCCUGCUCCUGGAUAACUGCUUGAAAGGGCGGCUAAUACGGGGUGUGCCGGCUGGUCCGCAUGGGCCUGGUCGGGAUAGUUUCAUCUUCGGGUGUUUCGGUGGGGGAUGGGCUCGCGGCCUAUCAGCUUGUUGGUGGGGUGAUGGGCCACCAAGGCGGUGACGGGUAGCCGGCCUGAGAGGGUGGGCGGCCACACUGGGACUGAGACACGGCCCAGACUCCUGCGGGAGGCAGCAGGGGGGGGUAUUGCACAAUGGGCGGAAGCCUGAUGCAGCGACGUCGCGUGAGGGAUGGAGGCCUUCGGGUUGUGAACCUCUUUCUCCGGUGGUGAAGGCCCUGUCCGUUGCGGCGGGGUUGACGGUAGCCGGGUAUGAAGCGCCGGCUAACUACGUG
This 499-nucleotide ribosomal RNA is filed under the name uncultured bacterium. RNAcentral describes it as "partial 16S ribosomal RNA". It matches the Rfam family "Bacterial small subunit ribosomal RNA", at positions 28 to 507 of the family's 1533-position model. The record is from RNAcentral.